Molecule: unclassified non-coding RNA, 343 nt
Filed under: soil metagenome
Description: partial contains 5.8S ribosomal RNA, internal transcribed spacer 2, and large subunit ribosomal RNA
Rfam family: 5.8S ribosomal RNA (bases 1-120)
Source: RNAcentral
GAUGAAGAACGUAGCGAAAUGCGAUAAGUAAUGUGAAUUGCAGAAUUCAGUGAAUCAUCGAAUCUUUGAACGCACAUUGCGCCCGCCAGUAUUCUGGCGGGCAUGCCUGUCUGAGCGUCAUUUCAACCCUCAAGCCCCCGGGCUUGGUGUUGGGGAUCGGCGUGCCCUCGCGGCGCGCCGUCCCCUAAAUCUAGUGGCGGUCUCGCUGUAGCUUCCUCUGCGUAGUAGCAACACUCGCACUGGAUCGCAGCGCGGCCACGCCGUUAAACCCCCCACUUCUGAAAGUUUGACCUCGGAUCAGGUAGGAAUACCCGCUGAACUUAAGCAUAUCAAUAGCGGAGGA